RNAcentral lists this long non-coding RNA (968 nucleotides) under Ananas comosus (pineapple). Its description in RNAcentral is "long non-coding RNA (ACOM_LNC021786)". The record is from RNAcentral. Lineage: Eukaryota; Viridiplantae; Streptophyta; Magnoliopsida; Poales; Bromeliaceae.
AUUCCUCUUUUAAAUUUGCCCACACAUGUCACCCUCUCAUCUCUCCCACAUAUUUAUUUGCUUUUGUAUAUAAUAAAAAUCAAAAGAGGUUUGUAAAUUCUUAAUGUUCUUAAAUUAUAGAUGUUGCGGUGCGUUAGUAUAUUAUGUAGAUUAAGAAUUAAGAUUACGAUGAAAUAAAUAAAAGAAAAAAAGAAUUUUAAAACGAUAGAUGGUGAUACAAAUAAUAUUAUAAUUUACAAUAAUAUAUAAAUCAUUUUAGAAUUUUAUAAAUAUAUUAAUUAUUUGUAUGCUUUUAAAAAAUAUCCUGGUAUUUUUUUCUUUUAUUUUAGAGAAUUUCACCCCUAUCUGUCGCGGUCUUAAGAGGACAAAUGCUACACAACUAUAUUAAGGGAGUGUUUGGAUUGACGAAUUUAUAGAUUCGACGUAACUCAAGUAUAGUGAUAUUUAAGUUUUACUGGAUUGUGAUUAUUUUUUUGUAGUUUGUUUUGAUGUAUCUCGUACAGUUAGAAAGUUAAAUUCAAUUACUUAUUUUAUUUAUUUUGAUGUAACUUGAUGCUGGUGAAAUCAGUUUUUUGAGUUCUAUUGUUUAUUUUGAUAUAAGUAAAUGGAUUCCGUUAUUUCCUGAAUAUAAUCAUAAGCUUAUUCCUAUAAAAUUUAACCUAUUAAAUAAUUAAAUUUUUUUAUUAUUUAAAAAUAAUUAUAGUUUAUUAUAAAUAAGAUAAUUCUAAUCUAUUAUUAAAGAAGUAAAAUUUAGGUUUUACCAUUUAAUAAAUUUUUAAGAAAAAAUUAAGUGUGGCAGAAGUCGAGUUCGACAUUUUAGAGGAAAAAGUUCAGAGUCGAUAAAUUGAAGGCCUAAAGUAACUUGUGUUACAAUACAUUUUAACUUACAUUAAAAUAAAUAGCAAAAAUAAUAAAACUUGAGUUCCACCCCCACUUACAUCAAAACAAACGCCCCUAAUUUGGAAAAA